GCGGCAGUAGCUCAGUUGGUAGAGCAUGGGCUUCCCAAGCCCAGGGUCGCGGGUUCGAGCCCCGUCUGCCGCUCCU
Molecule: transfer RNA, 76 nt
Filed under: Alloprevotella sp.
Lineage: Bacteria; Pseudomonadati; Bacteroidota; Bacteroidia; Bacteroidales; Prevotellaceae
Description: tRNA-Gly
Rfam family: tRNA
About the family: Transfer RNA (tRNA) molecules are approximately 80 nucleotides in length. Their secondary structure includes four short double-helical elements and three loops (D, anti-codon, and T loops).
Source: RNAcentral